UUUCCGCACUAACAGAAAGCAAUUCCUGCCCUAUGAUAAUAAAUAGCCGCAGUCCUCUGUGCUAAGGUAGCACAAUAACUUGCCUUUUAAUUGAAGGAUCGCAUGAAAGGAUACAUGACUUCUCCCUUUUUUCACUUAUUUAUAAUAAAUUUAUCCUAUAAGUAAAAAGACUUAUAUAACAAAGAAGGACGACAAGACCCUAUAGAACUUUACUAUUGUUAAACUGGGGAGGUUAAAAACAAAAUCUUAUUUUCAAAACUACAUACAGACCUGAUAACACUCAACAUAAAGAUCAAGUUACCUUAGGGAUAACAGAGUAAUAUCUUUUUAGAAUUUUCCAAGAAGAAGCUUUCUACCUCGAUGUUGAAUUAAUAUUACUUCAUAAAUAAAUAUUAUAUAAGUGGGUCUGUUCGACCUUUAAAAUAUUACAUGAUUUGAGUUCAGACCGGUGUAAGCCAGGUCAGAUUCUAUCCUCUUCUAUACUCGUUACAGUACGAAAGGACCUACCGAGAAAUAA
RNAcentral lists this ribosomal RNA (517 nucleotides) under Loxosceles sp. Gran Canaria 1. RNAcentral's name for it is "partial 16S ribosomal RNA". It matches the Rfam family "Bacterial large subunit ribosomal RNA", at positions 1834 to 2706 of the family's 2925-position model. Lineage: Eukaryota; Metazoa; Arthropoda; Arachnida; Araneae; Sicariidae. The record is from RNAcentral.